UACGGAGGAUCCAAGCGUUAUCCGGAAUUACUGGGCGUAAAGAGUUGCGUAGGUGGCAGAGUAAGUCUGUAGUGAAAGCGUCCCGCUCAACGGGAUAGGCAUUAUGGAAACUGCUCAGCUAGAGGACGAGAGAGGUUACUGGAAUUCCCAGUGUAGGAGUGAAAUCCGUAGAUAUUGGGAGGAACACCGAUGGCGUAGGCAGGUAACUGGCUCGUUCCUGACACUAAGGCACGAAAGCGUGGGGAGCAAACGGG
Molecule: ribosomal RNA, 254 nt
Filed under: uncultured bacterium
Lineage: Bacteria
Description: partial 16S ribosomal RNA
Rfam family: Bacterial small subunit ribosomal RNA
Source: RNAcentral